RNAcentral lists this ribosomal RNA (300 nucleotides) under uncultured Rubrimonas sp. Its description in RNAcentral is "partial 16S ribosomal RNA". The stretch from base 52 to 300 matches the Rfam family "Bacterial small subunit ribosomal RNA", at positions 547 to 795 of the family's 1533-position model. The record is from RNAcentral. Lineage: Bacteria; Pseudomonadati; Pseudomonadota; Alphaproteobacteria; Rhodobacterales; Paracoccaceae.
GCCAAAUGGGGGGAGGUAGGCGGGUUGAGACGGUGUGUGGAAGGGUUAAGCGGAAAUAAUGGGGGUGAAGCUGACGCAGGGGGUUGGAUAAGUGAGAUGUGGAAUCCCCGGGCUCAACCUGGGAAUUUCAUUUAAAACGGUCCAGGUAGAGUCGUGUAGAGGGGGGUAGAAUUUCAGGUGUAGCGGUGAAAUGCGUAGAGAUCUGGAGGAAUACCGGUGGCGAAGGCGGCCCCCUGGACAAAGACUGACGCUCAGGUGCGAAAGCGUGGGGAGCAAACAGGAUUAGAUACCCUAGUAGUC